AGGGCAGCAGUCUGUAUUUUACUUACAGUGGAGGUCGCAAUGAAGUGGAAGUCCUAUGAGGUGGACAAACGGUCAUAAAGGACCUAAACCUAUGUGUGCACAGUGGCCAGAUGCUUGUUGUCAUCGGCAGCUCAGGCUGUGGGAAGACCUCCUUACUAGACAUCAUAACAUGUCGAG
Long non-coding RNA from Sinocyclocheilus grahami, 177 nucleotides. RefSeq lists it as uncharacterized. Lineage: Eukaryota; Metazoa; Chordata; Actinopteri; Cypriniformes; Cyprinidae. The record is from RefSeq and is a predicted model, not a curated record. The transcript is spliced from 3 exons.